This 331-nucleotide unclassified non-coding RNA is filed under the name soil metagenome. RNAcentral's name for it is "partial contains 5.8S ribosomal RNA, internal transcribed spacer 2, and large subunit ribosomal RNA". The stretch from base 1 to 120 matches the Rfam family "5.8S ribosomal RNA", at positions 35 to 154 of the family's 154-position model. The record is from RNAcentral.
GAUGAAGAACGUAGCGAAAUGCGAUAAGUAAUGAGAAUUGCAGAAUUCAGUGGAUCAUCGAAUCUUUGAACGCACAUUGCGCCCCUUGGUAUUCCGAGGGGCAUGCCUGUUCGAGCGUCAUUUCAACCCUCAAGCUCAGCUUGGUCUUGGGCCUGGCCGUGAUGGCCGGUCUUAAAAUCAGUGGCGGUGCCGUCGCAGGCUCCAAGCGUAGUACAUCUCUCGCUCUGGAAACUUGGCGGUGCCUGCCAGACAACCCCUAAUUGUCUCUUUCGGUUGACCUCGGAUCAGGUAGGGAUACCCGCUGAACUUAAGCAUAUCAAUAAGCGGAGGA